This 528-nucleotide long non-coding RNA is filed under the name Heterocephalus glaber (naked mole-rat). Its description in RNAcentral is "lncRNA (ENSHGLG00000039758.1)". Lineage: Eukaryota; Metazoa; Chordata; Mammalia; Rodentia; Bathyergidae. The record is from RNAcentral.
CGGCUCCUUCCCUCGCUGCUGAGGGAAGGAGGUGAGCAGCCUUCCUCUACGCAGACCCUUCCUCUACGCAGACCCUUCCUCUCUGCCACAGACCACGCAAGGACUGAAAUUUCUAAACUAUGGAAAAUCAAGGCAGGAGCACGAGGGUAACUCGCCCAAGGUGAGAAGACAAGAGACAACUGGCACACACCUGGCACUCACCUGGUCCCCAGCCACGCUUCAUGCUCAGAAGCCGCCUGUAUGGAGAACUGACAUUGUCACAUUCCAGCCGGGAAAACGUCACCCAAACCAUGCCCCGCCUCUUCUGCCUUUCUUCUCCCUCAAGCUCCCAAGGACAGACCUGUGUUUGCCCACCCAGGAAGCCUCCCACCUGCAGCUGAACACUUGGCUCACUCUGUUGCUGUGCUCACCUGCAGGGGCAGAUGGACCCGUCCCAGGUUUCAUUCAGAUGUCAAGACAAGCCUGGUGCCCUGGCACAUGCCUAUCAUCCUAGCACUUGGGAGGCUGAGGCAGGAGGAUCACUGUGAG